Molecule: ribosomal RNA, 434 nt
Filed under: uncultured Clostridium sp.
Lineage: Bacteria; Bacillati; Bacillota; Clostridia; Eubacteriales; Clostridiaceae
Description: partial 16S ribosomal RNA
Rfam family: Bacterial small subunit ribosomal RNA
Source: RNAcentral
ACGGGAGGCAGCAGUGGGGAAUAUUGGACAAUGGGGGAAACCCUGAUCCAGUGACGCCGCGUGAGUGAAGAAGUAUUUCGGUAUGUAAAGCUCUAUCAGCAAGGAAGAAAAUGACGGUACUUGACUGAGAAGCCCCGGCUAACUACGUGUCAGCAGCCGCGGUAAUACGUAGGGGGCAAGCGUUAUCCGGAUUUACUGGGUGUAAAGGGAGCGUAGACGGCAAUGUAAGUCUGAAGUGAAAGCCCCGGGCUCAACCCGGGAACUGCUUUGGAAACUGUAUAGCUAGAGUGCAGGAGAGGUAAGUGGAAUUCCUAGUGUAGCGGUGAAAUGCGUAGAUAUUAGGAGGAACACCAGUGGCGAAGGCGGCUUACUGGACUGUAACUGACGUUGAGGCUCGAAAGCGUGGGGAGCAAACAGGAUUAGAUACCCUGGUA